UCCGUGCCGCAGUUAACACAAUAAGUAUUCCACCUGGGGAGUACGACCGCAAGGUUGAAACUCAAAGGAAUUGACGGGGGCCCGCACAAGCAGUGGAUUAUGUGGUUUAAUUCGACGCAACGCGAAGAACCUUACCAGGAUUUGACAUCCAACUAACGAAGUAGAGAUACAUUAGGUGCCCUUCGGGGAAAGUUGAGACAGGUGGUGCAUGGUUGUCGUCAGCUCGUGUCGUGAGAUGUUGGGUUAAGUCCCGCAACGAGCGCAGCCCCUAUUGUUAGUUGCUACGCAAGAGCACUCUAGCGAGACUGCCGUUGACAAAACGGAGGAAGGCGGGGACGACGUCAAAUCAUCAUGCCCUUUAUGUCCUGGGCUACACACGUAAUACAAUGGCCGUCAACAGAGGGAAGCAAAACCGCGAGGUGGAGCAAAUCCCUAAAAACGGUCUCAGUUCGGAUUGCAGGCUGCAACUCGCCUGCAUGAAGCUGGAAUUGCUAGUAAUCGCGGAUCAGCAUGCCGCGGUGAAUACGUUCCCGGGCCU
This 538-nucleotide ribosomal RNA is filed under the name uncultured bacterium. RNAcentral's name for it is "bacterial SSU rRNA". It matches the Rfam family "Bacterial small subunit ribosomal RNA", at positions 840 to 1381 of the family's 1533-position model. The record is from RNAcentral.